Molecule: ribosomal RNA, 752 nt
Filed under: uncultured bacterium
Lineage: Bacteria
Description: bacterial SSU rRNA
Rfam family: Bacterial small subunit ribosomal RNA
Source: RNAcentral
AGAGUUUGAUCAUGGCUCAGAAUCAACGCUGGCGGCGCGCCUAACACAUGCAAGUCGAGCGAGAAAGGGGCAACCUGAGUAAAGCGGCGUACGGGUGAGUAACACGUGGAUCAUCUACCCUUUUGUGGGGAAUAACUUUGGGAAACCGAAGCUAAUACCGCAUAAGUCCGAGAGGAGAAAGCAGCAAUGCGCAGGAGGAGGAGUCCGCGGCCGAUUAGCUAGUUGGUGGGGUAAUGGCCCACCAAGGCAACGAUCGGUAGCCGGCCUGAGAGGGCACACGGCCACACUGGCACUGAGACACGGGCCAGACUCCUACGGGAGGCAGCAGUGGGGAAUCUUGCACAAUGGGGGAAACCCUGAUGCAGCGACGCCGCGUGAGCGAUGAAGCCCUUCGGGGUGUAAAGCUCUUUCGACGGGAACGAUAAUGACGGUACCCGGAGAAGAAGCUGCGGCUAACUACGUGCCAGCAGCCGCGGUAAUACGUAGGCAGCAAGCGUUGUUCGGAGUUACUGGGCGUAAAGAGUACGUAGGCGGUUUGCUAAGUCUGGUGUGAAAUCUCCUGGCUUAACUGGGAGGGUGCGCUAGAUACUGGCAGGCUUGAGUAUGGGAGAGGAGAGUGGAAUUCCUGGUGUAGCGGUGAAAUGCGUAGAUAUCAGGAGGAACGCCGGUGGUGUAGACGGCUCUCUGGACCAUUACUGACGCUGAGGUACGAAAGCGUGGGUAGCAAACAGGAUUAGAUACCCUGGUAGUCC